GUUUCUCAUUUUCACCCCUUAGUUCGACCCAAUUUGCCAACAGUUAUUUUCUUUGUUUGACUAAUUUUGAAGACUGCCACUUUAUUGUCUUCACUUUGAGCAUCAGCUCUUGGGAAUGAAAUGUAUUGUUGUCAUGUUGACUUUAUUCCUUCUCUAGGUUGGACGUCAGGGCUUGAACUUUAAUCUGGAGGCGUGCGACGGCUUCUAGCUCCUUCUCUUUGGUGGUUAUUUUGGACAAUUGACACAGAGUUCGAGUAAAAGUAGCAUUGGACUGGAAUAUGAAAUAUUUUAUUCAGAAUUAAAUGGAGUAGAAAGAUAUAUAAGAUAAGUAUUAUGUGUGGUUUCCCUUCCACGACCCUAAUGCAUUGCAUUGGUGCAAAUUAGUUGUUGAGGAGUGAGAUCGUCGAAUUUGUUGUCAUCAUUAGGGAGGGCGAAGUUUUCAAAGAGUUCGAAUGUAU
This 458-nucleotide long non-coding RNA is filed under the name Panax ginseng (ginseng). RNAcentral's name for it is "long non-coding RNA (PGIN_LNC004872)". Lineage: Eukaryota; Viridiplantae; Streptophyta; Magnoliopsida; Apiales; Araliaceae. The record is from RNAcentral.